GUUUUAUUUAAAUUUAAAUUCAAAAAUUUUUAAAUCUUAAAAUAAUUUCAAUAUUACUGAACAAAACUAGAAGUCGCUCCCCUACAUCGGUUUUCCAUUAAUACUAUUUCUGAAGUAGAAAGGUUGAUGGAAUUGGCUUAUCUGAUUAUGUGGUUGAAAGCAUUCAUUAUUAUAAUAAGCUGAAUUAAUUUCGAUAUUCUCAAUGGAUAUGGACAUUGACAAUUUUGAAGCACUGAUCUGCAAAUUUCGAUGUAUUGUUUGGUAGCUGAUUGCAUCACAUUUGUUCCGAAUUAAAGAAUCUUUACUAAAAAGAGACGUCAAACCUCUGAUCCUACGAACAUCACCAAUGGUGUGGCGUUUGAAAAGUCCUCACCACGGCCAAGUCAAGUUUUGG
This 394-nucleotide unclassified non-coding RNA is filed under the name Hevea brasiliensis (rubber tree). The record is from RNAcentral. Lineage: Eukaryota; Viridiplantae; Streptophyta; Magnoliopsida; Malpighiales; Euphorbiaceae.